Dendronephthya gigantea is the source of this 152-nucleotide ribosomal RNA. RefSeq annotates it as 5.8S ribosomal RNA. The transcript has a single exon. NCBI's taxonomy places the organism in Eukaryota, Metazoa, Cnidaria, Anthozoa, Malacalcyonacea, Nephtheidae. The record is from RefSeq and is a predicted model, not a curated record.
AACUUUUAACAGUGGAUCUCUUGGCUUGUGCAUCGAUGAAGAAUGCAGCCGGCUGCGAUACGUAGUGUGAAUUGCAGAAUUCAGUGAAUCAUCGAAUCUUUGAACGCAAAUGGUGAAUCAUUGAAUCUUUGAACGCAAAUCUUUGAACGCUU